Long non-coding RNA from Gadus chalcogrammus (walleye pollock), 2191 nucleotides. RefSeq lists it as uncharacterized. The transcript has 3 exons. NCBI's taxonomy places the organism in Eukaryota, Metazoa, Chordata, Actinopteri, Gadiformes, Gadidae. The record is from RefSeq and is a predicted model, not a curated record.
GGUAUAUCUCAGUGGGAGGAGUUUAGUGACAGGUGUGUCCCUUUCUUUCGCAGCCACAGAAACCAAGAGCAUACCUGUGAAGAGAGAGAGAGAGGCAGAGAGAGGGAAAGAUAGAUUGGAGAGAUAGAAAAGGAAACCGAAUAAAGAAGAUGUUAUGAACGUGUUAUUGAAAAGAGCAACAUUUCAAGAGAAAUAAGUGAAAACAGAAAGAAUAAGGAAGAACCACGGAUUGUUUUCUCUCGCUCGACCGGAAGUAAGCUUAACUUCGACCGAGUGGAUUUAAUUGUAGAAAGUAACCAUUUAAACGAUCUACAUGGUUUAAAUAUUGCCCUUUCCUUUCACCUAAGAGAAGAGGACUUGCACCACCGGAGGAAACUAGAGGACAACAGAACGAGGGAAUUCCGGUAGUUUAGUAGGAUUAUCUGGCGGUUUCGGGCCAGAGGUGACGUCACCACGUCAACGCCAGGAAACACAGUUUCCUCAACUGUAAACUUUGGAGGGUGUGACUUUUCGGCCUUUAAACAAAGCCAUCAAAAUGUCAGGCAUCAGCGUUUCAUUGGACAACCCCUAUGGAGAUGUGACCAUUCCACGAGCCAAGCUCCGUGGUGACCAGAGCCUGGUGAUUGGGAACCCUGUGGCCCUGGGCAACCCCUAUGCUAAGACAGAGGGUGGUGAGGCACAAGCCCCGCUCCCUUACAAUGUCAAGUUGGCGGAGCCAGAAGAGGAGAUGCGUUGCCGUGCCUGUUGCUACCGUUGUCGCCGUCGGAAACAGUGAUGGAGAGAGUGGAGGAGCUAUGGACAGAAGAGGAGUAGAGAUGGAGAGGGAAGGAGGAGAGGAGGAGAGGGAUGAUGCAUAGAGCUGGCUUGACCAAUGAAGGCAGCUCCCGUUAGGGAGGCAGGGCUUCUGGUAUAUUUAAAAUCUGGGAGAAAUGUAAAGCUUUGAUGGUUUCUGACUUUCCUCUAUCUUUGUCACAGUUAAAACUGGUCUUACUGAGCUGAAACAUAGAAGUGUUUAUUUCAGUUUGGUUUCAUACAUCUUGAUCACAUAAUUUUUCCAUUUGUAUUUAAAUGUUGAACAUAUUAACUGACAUGUACAUGUAGCUCGAUUUCUACAUGUAUAUAUGUGUUAUAUUUGUCUGCUUAUUGAUGUAAAAGGUAUAAUGUAUGAUGGUAAAAUGUAUGAAUAUUAUAGAUCAGUCAUUGUGUCUUAGCCAAUCAGCAAUGCCCCCAUCCUCCUUAACCAAUGAGAAUAAUCAACCAAACAUGCCAUGAUAAGGCCCAUUCAAAAUAGGUCUUUGCCAAAUAUGAAUUAUAAUAAUAUGAAUUAUUAUAUGUAAUAUUAGUACUCUAUGAAUAUACAUGCUGUUACAUGUGUGCCAAUGCAUCUAUUCAUGGAGCAGACCAUAAAUUGUAUUACAUUUGCAUUUAUACGGUUAAAGCACCUAUGAUCAAAUAUUGUCGUGUUUAAAGUGUGCAAUAUUCGCCUUUUGUUAUGUGAAGGACUUAUUUAUGUAUGGUUGUGCCAACAUAGAACGUUAUUUUAUAUAUUUGAAUAGCAUUUUACUUUUAUCAAAUUGCUACCUGAAUUCAUAUUUAUGUAGGCCUGUAGUGAAACCUAAAAAAGCUUAUUCUAGAAUGUAGUAAUGUAAGUAUUUUAUGGAAUGCAAACGUUCUACAUUUUUACAUUUGUCCUGCUAUUGCUGUUUUCCUCUUUUUUUUCCGAUCUGUAUGUAAAAAUAAAGCAGAAUAGCAAAAAAUGUAUUCCUUUUGCAUUGUUAAAAGGUUUUAUUUAUAGCUGCUCUGUAAAGUAGCCUAUGUCUUGAGGCUGCCCAAAAUGAGAUUACGUAUAUUUUAACAAUAUAAUUAUAAAGUAAUCAUAUCAUAGGCUAUGAUAUGAUUAUUUUAUACAUAUAUUGUAUAAGGGGCAAUCUUGAAGUUUAGGGUUACGUUCGGUUUUGCAUCAUUUUUCCCAGAGAUACAAACUGUGUAUGUAUUCAUAUUUAUAAUGAAUCACUGGUUAUUCAAAUUAUUAGUUCAGACAGUAAAUCAUUUUACACAGAUAGAGAGAAAGAGAUGGAUGUAGAUGGAGGGAAAGAAAUAGACAGUGAUAGAGAGCGAUGGACAUAGGGUAGAGUGACAAAAGGUUGCUAGGCAACCACACUGCCGAAGUAACUUGAACGACAAGCUCAGA